GCUGGGCGCAGUGUCGCACGCCUGUAAUCCCCAGCAGCUCGGGAGGCUGAAGCAGGAGGAUCAUGAGUUCAAAGCCAGCCUCAGCAAUGGCGAGGUGCUAAGCAACUCAGUGAGACCCUGUCUCUA
This 126-nucleotide small RNA is filed under the name Marmota monax (woodchuck). The record is from RNAcentral. Lineage: Eukaryota; Metazoa; Chordata; Mammalia; Rodentia; Sciuridae.